Rosa chinensis is the source of this 415-nucleotide long non-coding RNA. RefSeq lists it as uncharacterized. The transcript is spliced from 2 exons. Lineage: Eukaryota; Viridiplantae; Streptophyta; Magnoliopsida; Rosales; Rosaceae. The record is from RefSeq and is a predicted model, not a curated record.
UUCUCGCCUCUCUCUUCCUACAUCUCACACAGAACACAGAAAUUCCAGAGAAAGAAACAAUCUUCCUACAAAAUUUCUUCUCGGUUCUUGAAUAUCAUGAACAUGAAUUGAAAAUUUUUCAGAGUCAUCUUCAGAUGCUGCAAAUGAGGAACUUUGGAAUCUUGCUAAAGAUGAAGAAUUGAUGAAUUUGCAGAUUAAUGCUCUACAAGAGGAUGGAAGGAGAAGACGUAUUGAUUUUGACCUUGUGGUCACCAAUGCCCAGACCAAUGAAGGCUAAAUAUAAACAGAGUAUUUGAGAACAGAAGAAAAAAAGAUCGAGGUUAUUAGAGAAAAAAAAAAACAUUCAUGUAAAAGAAUUUAAAUGCAGGGCCGUUUACAAUUUCUCUUUUUCUCUCAGAGCAAAAGUGCAAAACGA